GUGUUGGAGGUGGAGAGAACGCUGUGCACGGUGUCCCACAAGGCAUUUGGACAUCAGGAGCGGUGCUGGGCUGCCGCUGCUCAGUGGACAUGGAUGAGGAAUGUGGCGUCUCUGGGGUGGUCCAAGCAUCAUCAUCACAGCCUGUGCAUCAGCACGGGGCUGGAUUGGAAGUGGAGUAACUGGGACACGAACCGGCACCCACACGGGAGCUACCCACUACGCCACCAUGCAGGUUCCCGAAGCGGUCUCAUUGUACCUUCCCACCCGGAGUCUACCUGGAGCACCCCUUUGCUGGCAGGUCCCCAGGACUUCCUAAGGCACACGAAGUGGCCGCUCUGUGAGCCCAGCUGAUGGGAGCAGUGAAGGAAGGAGAAAGAAGACUGGGUGGAUGUGCCCUAGCCUGGCCUGCCAUGGAGUCUACGGAAGGUUUGGCAAAACUACUGAGAGUUCCUGAGGCAAAGCUGUUGACAAAGGGGUCCCCAAGUCAUUGGUGGAGAACAGCCCAUGAGCUCAUGGGCUCCUGCAAAGGCAGCCAUGGAUUUCAAAGCAUGGCAGCCAUGGCCUUGUUCAGUUACCAAAGUGCAUUUAGUACUAAGGAGUCUGCGAGGUGCAUUACCAUGGCCACCCACAGGAGAGAGCGAGAGCGAGAGUGAGAACGAGAGCAAGAGCGAGAGCGAAAGCGAGAGAGAGAGAGAGAGACAAAGUGAGCCCCGUGGGCAGAGGCCCCCUAUCAGUGCACUGAUAGGGGGAGCCACAAGAUGGAAGAAUGCAAAGCAAUAGGUGACAAAAGGACUGGGACUACAGAAUUGUUGGAAAUUACAAAAGACAAUCUCAUUCAUGUUUCUCGAGAGAUACAGAGUGCUAAUUCCCUUUUAUUACUUUUGGCUACCUGGGCUAUGCGCCUUCCCAGGCAACUUUCAGAAUCUGAGAUAGACUGUAUGUAGAAUCUGAGGCUGUCUUCAGUGUUCAGCAAAUUGCUUGAUAAACACAGUGCCU
Non-coding RNA from Oryctolagus cuniculus (rabbit), 996 nucleotides. Lineage: Eukaryota; Metazoa; Chordata; Mammalia; Lagomorpha; Leporidae. The record is from RefSeq and is a predicted model, not a curated record.